This 492-nucleotide ribosomal RNA is filed under the name uncultured soil bacterium. RNAcentral describes it as "bacterial SSU rRNA". It matches the Rfam family "Bacterial small subunit ribosomal RNA", at positions 26 to 517 of the family's 1533-position model. The record is from RNAcentral.
AGAUUGAACGCUGGCGGCAGGCCUAACACAUGCAAGUCGAGCGGUAGAGAGGUGCUUGCAUCUCUUGAGAACGGCGGACGGGUGAGUAAUGCCUAGGAAUCUGCCUAGUGGUGGGGGGAUAACGUUCGGAAACGGACGCUAAUACCGCAUACGUCCUACGGGAGAAAGCGGGGGACCUUCGGGCCUCGCGCCAUUAGAUGAGCCUAGGUCGGAUUAGCUAGUUGGUGAGGUAAUGGCUCACCAAGGCGACGAUCCGUAACUGGUCUGAGAGGAUGAUCAGUCACACUGGAACUGAGACACGGUCCAGACUCCUACGGGAGGCAGCAGUGGGGAAUAUUGGACAAUGGGACGAAAGCCUGAUCCAGCCAUGCCGCGUGUGUGAAGAGGUCUUCGGAUUGUAAAGCACGUUUAAGUGGAGGAGGUUGUAACUUAAUCGUUGCUAACUUUGACGUUACGACAGAAUAAGCACCGGCUAACUUCGUGCAGCAGCCG